GUCGUAUGGUUUAAUAAUUGAGAUUUUAUUUUAAAAAGAUAUAGAAAAUUUGAAGAACAUAAUGACGUUUGUUUUCUUUUCCUUUCAAUACAGACAGCCGUGCCAUUAUUAAUAUACAUCGGGAAAAUUUCCACAAUACAAGUUGAUGAAAAAGAAAGAAAGACAUUCUCGUGUCUAUAUGAUUAAAUUUAUGCAACCCCAAGAAUAAAUGAAGCUGGC
Molecule: unclassified non-coding RNA, 219 nt
Filed under: Hevea brasiliensis (rubber tree)
Lineage: Eukaryota; Viridiplantae; Streptophyta; Magnoliopsida; Malpighiales; Euphorbiaceae
Source: RNAcentral